Molecule: small nuclear RNA, 106 nt
Organism: Nannospalax galili (Upper Galilee mountains blind mole rat)
Lineage: Eukaryota; Metazoa; Chordata; Mammalia; Rodentia; Spalacidae
Source: Ensembl
GAGCUCGCUUUGGCAGCACAUACACUAAAAUGGAACAAUCCAGAGAAGAUUAGUGUGGCCCUUGUGUAAGGAUGACAUGCACAUUUGUAAAACACUCCAUAUUUUU